GCGGCUCUGGUCCAACAGGCAGAGACGUCGGCCUUAGGUGCCGAAGGUUCGGGGUUCGAAUCCCCGGAGCCGCACGA
RNAcentral lists this transfer RNA (77 nucleotides) under Actinomadura harenae. Its description in RNAcentral is "Actinomadura sp. NEAU-Ht49 tRNA-Leu". It matches the Rfam family "tRNA". From Rfam's summary of the family: Transfer RNA (tRNA) molecules are approximately 80 nucleotides in length. Their secondary structure includes four short double-helical elements and three loops (D, anti-codon, and T loops). The record is from RNAcentral. Lineage: Bacteria; Bacillati; Actinomycetota; Actinomycetes; Streptosporangiales; Thermomonosporaceae.